RNAcentral lists this ribosomal RNA (543 nucleotides) under Fusarium oxysporum. RNAcentral's name for it is "eukaryotic LSU rRNA". The stretch from base 200 to 353 matches the Rfam family "5.8S ribosomal RNA". The record is from RNAcentral. Lineage: Eukaryota; Fungi; Ascomycota; Sordariomycetes; Hypocreales; Nectriaceae.
AGUAAAAGUCGUAACAAGGUCUCCGUUGGUGAACCAGCGGAGGGAUCAUUACCGAGUUUACAACUCCCAAACCCCUGUGAACAUACCACUUGUUGCCUCGGCGGAUCAGCCCGCUCCCGGUAAAACGGGACGGCCCGCCAGAGGACCCCUAAACUCUGUUUCUAUAUGUAACUUCUGAGUAAAACCAUAAAUAAAUCAAAACUUUCAACAACGGAUCUCUUGGUUCUGGCAUCGAUGAAGAACGCAGCAAAAUGCGAUAAGUAAUGUGAAUUGCAGAAUUCAGUGAAUCAUCGAAUCUUUGAACGCACAUUGCGCCCGCCAGUAUUCUGGCGGGCAUGCCUGUUCGAGCGUCAUUUCAACCCUCAAGCACAGCUUGGUGUUGGGACUCGCGUUAAUUCGCGUUCCUCAAAUUGAUUGGCGGUCACGUCGAGCUUCCAUAGCGUAGUAGUAAAACCCUCGUUACUGGUAAUCGUCGCGGCCACGCCGUUAAACCCCAACUUCUGAAUGUUGACCUCGGAUCAGGUAGGAAUACCCGCUGAACUU